RNAcentral lists this long non-coding RNA (1546 nucleotides) under Struthio camelus australis. Its description in RNAcentral is "lncRNA (ENSSCUG00000012631.1)". Lineage: Eukaryota; Metazoa; Chordata; Aves; Struthioniformes; Struthionidae. The record is from RNAcentral.
CAAAGGUCCCAUGAGCAUAUUUCAGUGGAGUUUCAUGGAAGAAUGGAGCUUUCAGAGACAGGAGGAGCUCUUGUGAAUUUUUUGAAAAUAGGUGUCUGGGCACUUCUUCUGUGAGGAGCUGGACUGAGCAUGGUCCCUGCGAGAUGCCACAGACUCUGCAGGGGAAAGAAGAGUACCAACAGCCUGGCGAGGGAAAGGCUUUGCCCCAAGCUUGGAUCCUCUUAGCCAUAGGAGAACCUGACCGUGAGACUUGAAGCCACAGGGACCCAUGCUACCUUGUUUUCCCGGCUCACAGAGCUCCUCAAGUCUUUACCUUGUGGUUUCUGAACCACUGGGAUUCACGUUCUCCAGCGUGAGGCAUAGAAAGCCAAGAUUCUCGUGUGCUGCCCUGGUGCUAGGACUUGGCCUUUAAGAAAAACGCUGAAUUUCGUAUUACUUCCUUGUGGGCUGGCCACACAGGGAGGUAACAGCCGUGUCAUAUUUGCGGAUGUAUCAGAGCUUGCGUUCAUGACUGGCGUGGGGGCGACGUUGGUUUUUGGCUCCUGGCUGGGCUGUACACCCAUAUCACGCUCUGCCUGGUCAGCUCCAGCCUUCUGUUUGUGCUUCCCAAGGCCAGAAGCGGGGCAAAGUCCAGGAUCCCCAGUUCCUCUGUCUAGAAAAGAGGUUUGGUGCUCUGUAAAUGCAAGACUGCUGGUGAUGAGAGAGACUGACGCUUUGCCCCAAGGCGUACGGAGCAGCCACAGCUCCAGCAGCCCUGAAAAUCAGGCCCAGUUAUCCUGGCUAAAGGGAUCCUUGUGGGAACAGCUGAGACAUCUAAGGAGCAAUGGUCAUCAGCAAGCUGUAUCAGUGAGCCGGCUGUGUGCUGGUCUUUUUAUCCAUCAUAUAUGCUCAGCACGAGCUCGUGGGACAGAAGUGGGAUCUGGAUGGUGGAUUCUUCGAGGGCUGGAGGAUCUGAUAUGGCUCUGAGGCCAAGGAGAACAACUGCAAGCGCUUAGAGCCACUGGAGAAGCCAGCGUCUGCUUCAGUCAUCCGGAGGAUGUUUGGUGAUGAGGCAUAUGGAUGCCCUGAGGACAUGACAUUGUUUGUCCAGGGCCCUCCCCAUUCCCAGCAGAACAGGCUGGUGUUUGUCACGGGGAGAAAAAAACAGCCUCUAGUUGGAAUAACUCCCGAUUUAAGGUCCUGCGUGAGGCUGAUCUGCUUUUACGGCUCUCCAGGGAAAUGACGCUGCUAACCCUUUUUUAUUGGGUGGCCUAUUUUUAAUCAGCUCAGUGAUAAAAACGCAUUGGCUGGUCAUGGCUGCCAGAGGAGUUUCCAUUUUCAGCCUCCCCAGGUGCUGUUGGAGCCCAGCGCCGAUUCCUCAGAGGGUUAAAGCGAGCGGGUCAUUGCGACGUAGCCUUUCGCAGGCACUGCCAAGGAACGUCAACUGUCCCUUUGCACCCCGCGCCUGGGGGAUAGUAAAUCUGUACACAAACAUUAGGCCUUCCUGAAAAGUCUGACAUAGCAGGGAGAAAAUAAAAGCUGGAGGGUUUUAUUAUCUUUCUCCUUA